UUUGAGGGGAAUGUUGUCUGGCUCGAGGACCCUUCUUCAUCUUCAUCAAGAAAUGUUUAGUGUUCUCGGACCAGGCUUCAUUCCCCCCAAU
This is a non-coding RNA of Cajanus cajan (pigeon pea), 91 nucleotides long. The record is from Rfam. NCBI's taxonomy places the organism in Eukaryota, Viridiplantae, Streptophyta, Magnoliopsida, Fabales, Fabaceae.